Molecule: long non-coding RNA, 5850 nt
Filed under: Homo sapiens (human)
Lineage: Eukaryota; Metazoa; Chordata; Mammalia; Primates; Hominidae
Description: non-protein coding PART1:21
Rfam family: Prostate androgen-regulated transcript 1 conserved region 3 (bases 218-348)
Source: RNAcentral
CUCUGUUUCUAGUGUUCACUUCCACCUUCCACCCUUUCACUAUGAAGGACCCUCACCAGAUGGUGGCACCAUGCUCUCGGACUUCCCAGCCUCCAGAACUGGACGGGUAAAUUGAAGCAAAAAGCAGACAAGUUCUAUGGGAUUUGCUGGCAUUGAUUUCCCAGGAUGGCAAAGUGCUAAGAACUAAACCUUUAAAGCUAACAAAAUGUACUGAUGUCUUUGCAAAGUAUCCAAGACCAACAAGAAAGUAAUUUCCCACCUCACCCUACCACCACCCAGAAAAGGAGCACAGAGAUGGGGAAGAGAGUGGCUGCAUCUGGCAUCCAGCCAGAGGAGUCCGUGCAGGGAUUCUGGAUCCCUCUUCCCCCACCCCACUGCCCUUCCCCCUCCACCCCAGCGUUUUGGAGAAGCAAGAAACUGUGAUGAUGCAGCUCCCUCAAGUAUCACAUGAAGAUAGUGGAAAGAGCCUCCUGAGGUAAAUAUGCCAUGUAGACAGAAACAAGCAAUGGCUCAACAGCAAUGUAUGAGGUCCAAGGACCAGGACCAAAGGGAAAAACAGCCAUCUCACCAGACACCUGCCUACGACCAGAUGCGUCAUCUCCAAUAUUAGCUAACUCCCUGGAACCUGGACUCAAGGUGUGAAAUAAAGGUUAAUGGGAAACCGCAGGAGUCAAAAGGAGGGGGCAGGAUUAUUGAGGAUUCAGGCUGUUGAGAAAUGAAAGUUUGGAUCACUCCCCAGAUAAAGAACCUUGACCAUUUAAGGGCAAUGGAAAUACAGAAUAGGCAGUAGAAGAAGGAAGCCAUAGAUACCAACUAUGGCCUCUCAAUCAAUUACAAAACUGAGAAUUCUGACAGUUUUGUGUAUUUCCUCUUUGCAUGUGAUGUAUAUGUGUGUAUUUGUAUAUAUUAACCAUUUUCCUUUUUCUCUCUUCAUUAUUUUAUGAAAGUUGUUGAAUAUAAACUCUACAAUUUAGCCUUUAGGUAAGAGAAUAUUCAGUGGGACUUUGAUUUGAGGAGUAUUUAAGACAGCCAGAUGAGACUACGAUAACUGUUGGAACUGUGUGUCUCCUCAUUUGGGGAAAGGGGUGAGAACUCUGCAUUUCUCUGAAGAACAGAGUUGACUUUGUGUUAUACAGAGUUCAAAUAUAUAUAUAAAAUGGUGCAUGUGGAAGCUAAGAAGCCAAAGGAGUUCACCAAGACAGUUAUCAAUAUAUUGCCUCUCCGCUCCAAAUCCACCCUUCUUUGCCCUGUUCCACGAUACUAAUCUGGCUCCUCGGUCAGCCAGUGCAAUGUCAUCUGUUGCUGGUAGAGUGUAGGGGAGACACUACAAGGUAUAGUAAAGGGGUCAGAUGCGGUGUCUCAUGCCUGUAAUCACAGCCCUUUGGGAGGCAGAGGCAGGAGGAUCACCUGAGGCCAGGAGUUUGAGACCAGCCUGGACAACAUGGUAAAACCCCAUCUCUACUGAAAAUACAAAAUUAGCACGCACCUGUAAUCCCAGCUACUCGGGAGGCUGAGGCAGGAGAAUCACUUGAACCUGGGAGGUGGAGGUUGCAGUGAGCCAAGAUCGCAUCAUUGCACUCCAGCCAGGGAAAAAAGGCAAAACUCUGUCUCAAAAAAAUAAAUAAAUAAAAUAAAAUAAAACAAGGUAUAGCAAAUAAAGGAGCAUUCCUUCUUGAUUCUUCCUGGUUCUUGUUACCUGUGGCCGCCACCAGUGGUGUAUGGGAGAGUCACCCUACAGUGAGUUCCACCAGCACCUAGUGAGGGCUUCCUACUGAGUUUUAUUGUCACCCGAGCAGGCAAUUUCCUUGCCAGCAGUAUGCAGGAGACCCAAUGGUGACCACCUUCCAGUGGGUUUUUCCAGCACCCUAGAAGGCACUUUUUUGACCACAGUGCUGAUCCACUGGCACCCAACAGCCAGUACCCUACUCACCAGGCCUGGCCUGUGGCACCUCAAAGAACUUUUCUAUCCUGCGGGCCACAGCACCACCCUCUCCAACAAGGUCUGAAUCUCAGCCUUCAGGUGUGAAAGACCCUUCCAUGUUUGUUCUUUUCUUGGGUAUCCUCCCUCAGUCCUAGAAGUAGCAGCUCUUCCCUAUGUUUGCUAUUUCUGUGUUAUUUAGCAUACAAUUUACCCCUUUUGUAGUUUAUCACAUUUUGCCAGUUAAUAAUUCUUUAUAGUAAAUGUUCCCUCUUCAAAUUACUAUCUCUCACCAAACACUGACUUCUAUAUCCUCAUCAGACACUGAGUGACACAACCUCCUUCAGAAAAGAAUCCCUUUCACCCUGCCCUUCAUGAUGAACACUCUCAACAAAUUAGGUAUAGCAGGAACAUACCUUGACAUAAUAAAGGCCAUAUAUGACGAGCCCACAGCUAACAUCAUACUGAAUGGGGAAUAACUGAAAGCCUUUCCUCUAAGAACUAGAAUAAGACAAGGACACCUACUCUAAGCACUCUUAUUCGGCAUUAUACUGGAAGUCCUAGCCAGACUUUCUCUUUCCGGAAAGAGAAAGAAAUGAAAGGCAUCCAAACUGGAAAACAGGAUGCCAGCCAGUUGUGGUGGCUCAAGCCUGUAAUCCCAGCACUUCGGGAGGCUGAGGUGGGCAGAUUGCUUGAACCCAGGAGUUCAAAUCCAGACUAGACAACAUGAUGAAACCCUGUCUCUAUGAAAAAUACAAAAAUUAGCCAGGUGUGGUGGCACACACCUGUAGUCCCAACUACUCAGGAGGCUGAGGUGGGAGGAUCACUUGAGCCUGGGAAAUAGAGGAUGCAGUGAGUCAAGAUCACACCAGAGCACUCCAGCCUGGAUGACAGAGAGAGAUUCCAAUUCAAAAAAAAAAAAAAGGAAGAAGCCAAAUUGUCUCUACUUCAGAUGACAUGAUUUUACAAAUUCAGUAAUGUUACAAGACACAAAAUCAAUAUAAAAAAUCGGUUGUGUUUUUAUACACCAAUAACCAACUAUCUGAAAAAGAAACCAAGAAAGCAACCUCAUUUAUAACUUCAAAAAAGUCUCAGGGAUAAAUUUAGCCAAGGAGGUGAAAGAUUUCUAUGAAAGCCAAAACAAAACAAAACAAAAAACACUACACCCUGAUGAACAAAAUUGAAGAGGAUACCAAAAAUAGAAAGACAUAUUAUGCUCAUGAAUUGGAACAAUUAAUAUUGUUAAAAAUGACUAUACUACCCAAGGUAAGCUAUAGAUUUAAUGCAAUUCCUAUCAAGAUACUAAUGACAUUCUUUGAAUCAAUAGAAAAAACAAUCCUAGAAUUCACAUAGAACCAUAGAAGAGCCCAAAUAGCAGCAAUACUCAGCAAAAAGAACAAAGCUGAAGGCAAUCACACUAACACAUUUCAGAAUAUACUACAAAGCUAUAGCAACCAAAACACUAUGCUAUUGGUAUAAAAACAGAUACACAGACCAGUGGAACAGAACAGAGAAUCCAGAAAUAAAUUCACAUAUUUACAGCCAGCCAAUUUUUGACAAAGUUGCCAGGAACAUACACUGAGGAAAGGACAUUCUUUUCAAUAAAUUGUGCUAAGAAAACUGGAUAUUCACAUGCAGAAGAAUGAAACUAGACCUCUAUCUCUCACAAUGUAUAAAAAUCAAUUCAAAAUGGAUUAAAGACUUAAAUACAAGACCUGAAACUAUAAAACUACUAAAAGAAAACAUAGAGGAAAUGCUUCAAGAUAUUGAUCUAGGCAAAGAUUUUAUGGCUAAGAUCUCAAAAGCAGGGGCAACCAAAACAAAAAUAGACAAAUGGAACGACAUUAAACUAAAAAGCUUCUGCGCAGGAAAGGAAACAAUCAACAGAGUGAAGAGAUAACAUGAACAAUGGAGAAAAAAUUGCUAACUAUUCAUCCAACAAGGGACUAAUAUCCAGAAUAUACAUAGAACUCAAAACAAUUCGACAGCAAAGAAUCAAAUAAUCUCACUAAAAAGUGAGCAAAGGACAUGAAUAGACAUUUCUAAAAAGACAAAUGGCUAACAGGUUUAGGAAAAACUGCUCAACAUCACGGAUCAUCAGGAAAAUACAGAUCAAAACCACAAUGAGAUACCAUCUCACCCCAGUUAGAAUGGUUAUUAUCAAAGUCAAAAAAUAACACAUGCUGGUGAUUAUGUGGAGAAAAGGGAACUCUUUAUGCAUUGUUGGGAAUGUAGAUUAGUACAACGACUAUGGAAAACAGUAUGAAAGUGUCUUUAAAAACUAAAAAUAGAACUACCAUCUGACCCAGCAAUCCCACUACUGUCUCUCUGUCCAAAGGAAAGGAAAUCAAUAAAUCAAAGGGACAACUGUACCCCCAUAUUUAUUGCUGCUCUAUUCACAACAGCCAAGGUAUGAAAUCAACCUAAGUGUCCAUCAACAGAUGAAUGAAUAAAGAAAAUAUGGUAUAUAUACACAACAAAAUACUAUUCAGCCAUUAAAAAUGAAAUCUCAUCAUAUGCGGCAACAGGGAUGGAAUUGCAAGUCAUUAUGUUUAGUGAAAUAAACCAGGCACAGAAAAACAAGUAUCACAUGUUCCCACUCAUAUGUGGGAGCUAAAAAGUUGACCUCAUGGAGGUAGGGAAUAGAAUGAUAGAUACCAGAGGCUGGGAAAGGGCUGGGGGGAUGAGGACAGAUUGGUUAAUGGGUACAAACAUACAGUUAUGUGGAAGAAAUAAGUUCUAGUGUUUAAUAGCACAAUAGAGUGUCUAUAGUUAACAAAAAAUAUAUUGCAUAUUUCAAAAUAGCUGAAAGAGAAGUUCUGAAAUGUUCCAAACACAAAGAAAUAAAUGCUUGAGGUAAUGGAUUUUCUAAAUAUGCUGAUUUGAUCAUUAUAUACUGUAUGCAUGUAUCAAACUAUCACAUGUACCUGAUACAUAGCAAUAUUAUGUAUUAAUAAAAAUUAAUAAAUAAUAAGUAAUAAACUUUAAAAAUAAUGUCCUUUAGAAAAGUUCUAAUUUUUUCCACAAAAAUUGAUAGUGUUAAAAAAUUAUAGCACCUCAAAAAAGACCUUUCACAAAAUAGAUGCUCAAAAAAUUCAUUGAAUUUUUGCCAAAUAAUUAUAAUUGUAAAAUUUUCCUUUUUACAAGGCUGUGAAGAAAUUGGAAUCCUCAUGCCAUACUUACUGGUGAGAUUGUAAGAUGAUGCAGUCACUUUGCAAACAGUCUGGGAAUUCCUCAAAAUAUUAAACAUAGAGUCACCCUAUGACCCAGUAAUUCUAUUUCUAGAUAUGUACCCAAAAGAAAUGGAAACAUAAUGCCACACUAAAACUUGUUCACAAAUGUUCAUGGCAGCAUUGUUCAUAGUAGCCAAAAAGUGAAAACCAUCCAAAUAUUCAUCAAGUGAUGAAUGGAUAAAUAAAGAUGUGGAAUACACAUACAAUGGAAUAUUACUCAGCUAUAAAAGGGAAAGACACUUACAAAUGCUACAUGAUAAAUGUGAAAGCAUUAUACUAAGUGAAAGAAGCCAGAGCCAGUCACAAAAUACCACAUAUCGUAUGAUGCCAUUUAUAGGAAAUGUCUAGAAUAGACAAGUCUAUGAGGACAGAAAGUUGUUUAGUGGUUGCCUAGGACUGAGGGUACAGGGUGGCAAGAGGGAGCUGCCAGGAAUGCAACAUGCUAAUGAAUAUGAAGUUUCUUUUGGGGUUCUAACAUGUUCUAGAAUUAGAUGGUGGUGAUGUUUGCACAACUCUGUGGUUAUACUAAAUAAAUGAACUGUACACUUUAAAUAUAUCUAAAUGUAUGUAAAUUAUAUCAUAAUGUCUGGGUUUUAUUAAUUGCCUUUUAAAUGUGGCUUUAGUUCUGUCUGUAUACUUCAUGAAAUGUAUCAAAGUAAUGCUAAAAUAAAACCAAUAAUUAAACCCAAUGAAUCACAA